Molecule: long non-coding RNA, 546 nt
Organism: Nematolebias whitei (Rio pearlfish)
Lineage: Eukaryota; Metazoa; Chordata; Actinopteri; Cyprinodontiformes; Rivulidae
Exons: 2
Source: RefSeq, a predicted model, not a curated record
CUCCUCCUUUGGGCUGUGGACCAGGUCUGGUUGGACUCCAGCACUGUUGCUGUGACCGCCUGCCAGCCAUGCUCGACAAAGUGCCGGACCAGGGGUAUGAGUAUGUUAGCUGAGGAGGAGUAUGUCGUGAUCAGAGGGAGCAUUGGGGAUGUAUCUCGUGGCCUAGGAUGCAGGAAGGAUCUCCUGCACGACCUGAGAAAAGACCUCGAGUAGCCCCGUUUACCAAGGACCUUGAAAAGGAUUCCCACUGCCUCCUCGAAAUCUGCGUGUUGGGUGCAUAUUCUGUGGAAUCUAAGGAGCUGUGAUUUGAUUAGACCGGCGUAGGUGUGUUUGGGGUGGAAACUGGUUUUAUAAAGUAGUGCGUGUGUGUCUGUGGGUUUAAAGUAAACUUUGAUGUCCAAUUUGUGUGGGUUAGGGUUAGGGUUAGGGUUAGGGUUAGGGUUAGGGUUAGUUUUAAAGAGAGUUGUGACUCCAAUGGAGUCGUGCACUGGCCAUCAAAACCAGAACCACCCAAAAAGACUAAGAAUUCAAACAAAAGAAGAAAAA